CUGCCUCAGAUUGAACGCUGGCGGAAUGCCUUACACAUGCAAGUCGAACGGCAGCACAGGUGCUUGCACCUGAUGGCGAGUGGCGAACGGGUGAGUAAUACAUCGGAACGUGCCUUAUCGUGGGGGAUAACGCAGCGAAAGCUGCGCUAAUACCGCAUACGACCUGAGGAUGAAAGCGGGGGAUCGCAAGACCUCGCGCGAUUGGAGCGGCCGAUGCCUGAUUAGGUAGUUGGUGGGGUAAAAGCCCACCAAGGCGACGAUCUAUAGCUGGUCUGAGAGGACGAUCAGCCACACUGGGACUGAGACACGGCCCAGACUCCUACGGGAGGCAGCAGUGGGGAAUUUUGGACAAUGGGCGCAACCCUGAUCCAGCCAUGCCGCGUGAAUGAAGAAGGCCUUCGGGUUGU
Molecule: ribosomal RNA, 407 nt
Filed under: uncultured bacterium
Lineage: Bacteria
Description: bacterial SSU rRNA
Rfam family: Bacterial small subunit ribosomal RNA
Source: RNAcentral